CAGUAGCCGCGGGAAUACGUAGGGUGCAAGCGUUAAUCGGAAUUACUGGGCGUAAAGCGUGCGCAGGCGGUUUGUUAAGACAGAUGUGAAAUCCCCGGGCUCAACCUGGGAACUGCAUUUGUGACUGGCAAGCUAGAGUACGGUAGAGGGGGAUGGAAUUCCGCGUGUAGCAGUGAAAUGCGUAGAUAUGCGGAGGAACACCGAUGGCGAAGGCAAUCCCCUGGACCUGUACUGACGCUCAUGCACGAAAGCGUGGGGAGCAAACAGGAUUAGAUACCCCUGUAGUCCCUGUCUCUUAUAA
This 301-nucleotide ribosomal RNA is filed under the name uncultured bacterium. RNAcentral describes it as "partial 16S ribosomal RNA". It matches the Rfam family "Bacterial small subunit ribosomal RNA", at positions 509 to 809 of the family's 1533-position model. The record is from RNAcentral.